GGGACCUGCAUAAAAUAGGGCCUGUUUGUAAAUGGCAUAGGUUGACCUCCAAUAUCCCAUCAUAGAGAUUGAGGAUUUAAUAUAGCAGCCUGAAAAUCCAGGAAGAACUCUGUAUAUAUGGGCUCUAUGUCCGUAAAUACAGAGAACAUUUUUGAAAGUGUUUUGACCCAGGCCGGAUACUGUAGCCAGUAAAGCCAAGGAGCUCCUAUCUCCCCCACCCUUAGGAAUUAUCUCUGGCGCCAAACUAAGACCAAUGGGCUACCUGUGCAUCCCUAAUGCCCCCCUUAGGUUCCACCCCAGGCAGAGGCCACUUAUGUGCCUCAUUCCACGUGUUCCACAGAGAGAUCGCGUACCCAGGGGUGGAGAUGCCGCGCCCCUAGGGGGGUCUCUCCCUGCAUUCUCAAAAUAAAGGUCAUUUAUAUUUCAUACUUCUUAUCUUUUCAGCUGCCGCCGGUCCUCCCCCCACAGUUCUAUCAGUCUACUUCUCGUGGUUGCUGGGAAUGCAGAAUCAGAUCAUUUAGGCCAGGGGUUGGCUAUUAAUCACCGUAAAAGAAGCUCUGAGUGGCAGAAGAAAGAAGUGCAGGAGGUUGUAUCAGUCACCGCUCACUAGAGAAACAGAUUUAACCUAUGAUGUAUAAAUAUAAGGAUUUGCAAAGGAGGCUUACAAUGUCCGCCCACAGAGUUAGGGCAAAAGGCUCUGUCUGCGUGCUACAGAGCCAAAGGAUCCGCCCAAAGGUCAAAGGCCUGGAGCUCACUGCAGAGGAAGCAGAAAGGUCCUUGCUGGAAGCUGCUAAUCCAAUUUAGAACCCAAACUGUUAAUGACUGCUCUAUAAUUAUCUCUGGCACCACACAUCUGGAAUAAACUACUGAGAGCUUCCAGCCACGAGCCAAGUCUUCUUGAAGCUCCAAGGAAUAGGGGCAGAAGCAAGUGAGAAGUAAGUGAGAAGGUGCCGAGGACGGAUGUGGAGCACAACUAUUGACCCGGUCAUGGUAGAUUUGCCAUGGCAGGGAGCCUGGCGGGACAGGGGUCUUCAGUCAGCAGUUUCUCAUUCAUUCUUGGAACCAAAACCUCCCUGGCACAAUGAACCCCAACAUCUGGCACGUGAACUGGGAACUCACAGCGGAGAUGUCUGCUGUGGUGUGUGAUUUAGCCUUGCUGUGUUCCUGGGGUGGAAUACAGCAGCCAACUGGCAUCCACUUCAUUUUCUUCAGAAAAUCCCCAGCUCUGCCCAGAAGCUGCUGCAACUUUUGGCCAGGGAACAGACGAACACUGCGUGGCUGACUUCCAGGAGCUCCCAUCUGCUGCCCCUAACUUGAUUGGUCCUAUGUGGAUUCCUGCUCACUGCGUUUGCCAUGCACAGAAUGAAUUGGUACCAUGGUUUCGCCUCUCCCUGAGUCAAGCCCGGCUGCCUCAGAAGCAACCCAGUAUGACAACUGCUCAGCCAGGAACCUGGGGCAAUAUAAAGGCACUGAUCCAGUCUGCACAAGACUUGCCCCAUACAUCUGAAGAGGAACCCACUGCUGCAAGAAGCGGUGUUUACUAAAUUGACAGUGAACUCUUUAAUGCUUGUUUGUAUUCUAUUGCUUUAUGUUUUGCAACCCAUCAUGGGGAUAUUAGAGUCCCACAACUUCCAGGAAAGAUUGGAAUACAAUAUUUGGGUUCAACUGGCAAAAAUAGCUAAUGUCUCUCAUUUCUGUCUGGCUCAAAAGACAGAAAUAAAAUACAUUCUUGGAUCCUGUCUGAUUCUGAUAUGCAAAGACCCUGCCUCUCUAAGUAUUUACACCGUUUUCUCCACUGUUCCAAACAAAAUUGUAACAUACGGUGACUAUCCAAAUUGGGGAACUCACACCCUUAACAAACCUGACAAUGCUGUUAAAUGCCUCAUGUGCUCCUAAUGAAAAUUGUACUACUCAAUGUCUGCCUUCCUAAUAGUCCUGGGAAUUGUUCUAGUUAUGAGCCAAUAUUGUAUAGAUAUGGACAUGUUCC
Cavia porcellus (domestic guinea pig) is the source of this 1987-nucleotide long non-coding RNA. RefSeq lists it as uncharacterized. NCBI's taxonomy places the organism in Eukaryota, Metazoa, Chordata, Mammalia, Rodentia, Caviidae. The record is from RefSeq and is a predicted model, not a curated record. The transcript has 6 exons.